AUACGAAGGUGGCAAGCGUUGUUCGGAAUCACUGGGCUUAAAGCGCACGCAGGCGGAGAUGAAAGUGUCUUGUGAAAUCCCUCGGCUUAACCGAGGAAUCGCUGGGCAAACUACAUGUCUUGAGGCAAGCAGGGGUGUGUGGAACUCUUGGUGGAGCGGUGGAAUGCGUAGAUAUCAAGAGGAACGCCGAAGGUGAAGACAGCACACUGGGCUUGACCUGACGCUGAGGUGCGAAAGCGUGGGGAGCGAACGGCAUUAGAUACCCCGGUAGUUCACGCCGUAAACGAUGCCUACUAGGUUGUGGGGAUUCUGACAUUCUCACAGUCGAAGCAAAAGUGUUAAGUAGGCCGCCUGGGGAGUACGGUCGCAAGGCUAAA
RNAcentral lists this ribosomal RNA (377 nucleotides) under uncultured bacterium. Its description in RNAcentral is "bacterial SSU rRNA". It matches the Rfam family "Bacterial small subunit ribosomal RNA", at positions 523 to 898 of the family's 1533-position model. The record is from RNAcentral.